Molecule: long non-coding RNA, 342 nt
Organism: Lytechinus variegatus (green sea urchin)
Lineage: Eukaryota; Metazoa; Echinodermata; Echinoidea; Temnopleuroida; Toxopneustidae
Exons: 3
Source: RefSeq, a predicted model, not a curated record
CCUCAAGGAAAUCCGAUUAGGCACGUCAUUGCGGGUCGAAAGUUUGCACGGAGUCCUCAAAAGAAGGCAAAAGAAAGGGGGAACGCAUCUAAACUAUUAACAAUUUUGUUCGUGUGUCUCUGUGCCCUUCAUCCAAUGCAGGCACACGCUGUCUUUUAGCAGCAAAGUUCAAGCCAGUACCAGUAAUCAGAGAGGACACAAGAUUUCCCUAUUCCGACAAUUCAAUUCAUAAAGAUGCUGUUGAAUCUACUCCCACCAUGCCAAAAGAACCUGGAGAUGGAGCUGCUCGUAGGCGCAUACCAAGAAGGGAUAUCAAAGAAAUCGAUAAAUCCGAAGUAUCGA